AAUAAACUCUGAGUUUUCGUGUCCAACGUUUAACCAUCCGUCUUAUUUAAAAAAAAUUAUAAAAAAAAUUAAAAAGACAAGUCACGCAUAAAGUAUUAAUCAUGUUUUAUCAUCUAACAAUAAUAAAAAUACUAAUUAUAAAAAAAUUUCAUAUAAGACAGACAAUCAAACGUUGGACAUGAAAACCAGGUUUAUU
This 196-nucleotide microRNA precursor is filed under the name Oryza sativa Indica Group (long-grained rice). RNAcentral describes it as "MIR812 microRNA precursor family". It matches the Rfam family "MIR812 microRNA precursor family". Lineage: Eukaryota; Viridiplantae; Streptophyta; Magnoliopsida; Poales; Poaceae. The record is from Rfam by way of RNAcentral.